RNAcentral lists this small nucleolar RNA (116 nucleotides) under Tuber melanosporum Mel28. RNAcentral describes it as "small nucleolar RNA SNORD14". Lineage: Eukaryota; Fungi; Ascomycota; Pezizomycetes; Pezizales; Tuberaceae. The record is from RNAcentral.
UCACCAUGAUGAAAAAAUUCCUACAUUCGCAGUUUCCUCGGUAGCACACGCUAGAACCCAUUCUAUAAGUGUGCGUAACGUGACCGCUGCAAGACCUUUCUUGGAAGUCUGAUUUG